AAGGCCUGAUGUGUGUGAGAUUACCCGCUGAAUUUAAGCAUAUAAGUAAGCGGAGGAAAAGAAACUAACUAGGAUUCCCUUAGUAAUGGCGAAUGAACAGGGAUCAGCUCAGUGCCAAAUCGGAAUCACUUGUGGUUCUGAAAUGUGGCUUGAAGGCAGUACCAGUGGCAUCGCGGACGAAAGUCUCUUGGAAAAGAGCGUCAUAGAGGGUGA
This 213-nucleotide non-coding RNA is filed under the name Perkinsus marinus ATCC 50983. RNAcentral's name for it is "Eukaryotic large subunit ribosomal RNA". It matches the Rfam family "Eukaryotic large subunit ribosomal RNA", at positions 1 to 215 of the family's 3401-position model. Lineage: Eukaryota; Perkinsozoa; Perkinsida; Perkinsidae. The record is from Rfam by way of RNAcentral.